ACAUAAGCGGAGGAAAAGAAACCAACCAGGGAUUGCCUUAGUAACGGCGAGUGAAGCCGGCAAAAGCUCAAAUUUGAAAUCGGCCACCAGGUCGAGUUGUAAUUUGUAGAUUGUAUCUUGAGAGCGGAUUAAAGUCUGUUGGAACACAGCGCCUUAGAGGGUGACAGCCCCGUAAAAUCUAUUCUCAUUGUAAGAUACUUUCGAAGAGUCGAGUUGUUUGGGAAUGCAGCUCUAAGUGGGAGGUAAAUUCCUUCUAAAGCUAAAUAUUGACGAGAGACCGAUAGCGAACAAGUACUGUGAAGGAAAGAUGAAAAGCACUUUGAAAAGAGAGUGAAAAAGUACGUGAAAUUGUUAAAAGGGAAGGGUAUUGAAUCAGACUUGGUGCUGUUGUUCAACUGUGUUUCGGCAUAGUGUACUCAGCAGUACUAGGCCAAGGUGGGGUGUUUGGGAGUGAAAAAGAAGUUGGAAGGUAACUCUUCGGAGUGUUAUAGCCUACUUUCAUAGCUCCUCAGGCGCCUCAGGACUGCGCUUCGGCAAGGACCUUGGCAUAAUGAUUGUAUACCU
RNAcentral lists this ribosomal RNA (564 nucleotides) under Geotrichum candidum. Its description in RNAcentral is "eukaryotic LSU rRNA". It matches the Rfam family "Eukaryotic large subunit ribosomal RNA", at positions 44 to 647 of the family's 3401-position model. Lineage: Eukaryota; Fungi; Ascomycota; Dipodascomycetes; Dipodascales; Dipodascaceae. The record is from RNAcentral.